RNAcentral lists this unclassified non-coding RNA (206 nucleotides) under Ascomycota sp. RNAcentral describes it as "partial contains small subunit ribosomal RNA, internal transcribed spacer 1, and 5.8S ribosomal RNA". The stretch from base 1 to 47 matches the Rfam family "Eukaryotic small subunit ribosomal RNA", at positions 1785 to 1831 of the family's 1831-position model. Lineage: Eukaryota; Fungi; Ascomycota. The record is from RNAcentral.
AAAGUCGUAACAAGGUCUCCGUUGGUGAACCAGCGGAGGGAUCAUUACCGAGUUUCCAACUCAUAACCCACUGUGAACAUACCAAAGUUGCUUCGGCCCAGGGCACUGCCCGGGGUCGAGGGCCCCCAAACCUCUGUUUUCUAGGUGUAUCUUCUGAGUAACCAAAAAAUAAAUCAAAACCUUCAACAACGGAUCUCUUGGCUCUG